Molecule: unclassified non-coding RNA, 219 nt
Filed under: Hevea brasiliensis (rubber tree)
Lineage: Eukaryota; Viridiplantae; Streptophyta; Magnoliopsida; Malpighiales; Euphorbiaceae
Source: RNAcentral
GAGGCUGUUAAUUUUGCCCCUGCCGACUGGUUACCUCAUGGUGGUUUUGGAGCAGAGCUUUACCAACUUUAUCGCAAAGCUGCUGUUUUGUCUCAUGAAGAGCUUCUCUGUGCAGUAGCCCGGAGUGAAUUUGAUAGCAAUGCAGCACCUUACUUAAAAACAGAAUUGGUCAGGGUCUAUUCUAAAGAAAAGUCUUGGAGAGAGCGGCUUUGGAAAAAU